AACGCUGGCGGCAGGCCUAACACAUGCAAGUCGAGCGAACCUAGCUUGCUAGGUGAGCGGCGAACGGGUGAGUAACGCGUAGGAAUCUGCCUGGUAGUGGGGGACAACGUUCCGAAAGGAACGCUAAUACCGCAUACGCCCUACGGGGGAAAGUGGGGGAUCUUCGGACCUCACGCUAUCAGAGGAGCCUGCGUCGGAUUAGCUAGUUGGUGAGGUAAAGGCUCACCAAGGCGACGAUCCGUAGCUGGUCUGAGAGGAUGAUCAGCCACACCGGAACUGAGACACGGUCCGGACUCCUACGGGAGGCAGCAGUGGGGAAUAUUGGACAAUGGGGGCAACCCUGAUCCAGCCAUGCCGCGUGUGUGAAGAAGGCCUUCGGGUUGUAAAGCACUUUAAGCGGGGAGGAAAGUUCGUUGGUUAAUACCCAGCGGAAUUGACGUUACCCGCAGAAUAAGCACCGGCUAACUCCGUGCCAGCAACCGCGGUAAUACGGAGGGUGCAAGCGUUAAUCGGAAUUACUGGGCGUAAAGCGCGCGUAGGCGGCUGAGUAAGUCGAUUGUGAAAUCCCCGGGCUCAACCUGGGAAUUGCAGUCGAGACUGCUCGGCUAGAGUGUGGGAGAGGGUGGUGGAAUUCCCGGUGUAGCGGUGAAAUGCGUAGAUAUCGGGAGGAACAUCAGUGGCGAAGGCGACCACCUGGCCCAACACUGACGCUGAGGUGCGAAAGCGUGGGUAGCAAACAGGAUUAGAUACCCUGGUAGUCCACGCCGUAAACGAUGUCGACUAGCCGUUGGAGACCUUAGAGUCUUUAGUGGCGCAGCUAACGCACUAAGUCGACCGCCUGGGGAGUACGGUC
This 853-nucleotide ribosomal RNA is filed under the name uncultured bacterium. RNAcentral's name for it is "bacterial SSU rRNA". It matches the Rfam family "Bacterial small subunit ribosomal RNA", at positions 32 to 887 of the family's 1533-position model. The record is from RNAcentral.